AACGAACGCUGGCGGCAUGCCUAAUACAUGCAAGUCGAACGAGAUCUUCGGAUCUAGUGGCGCACGGGUGCGUAACGCGUGGGAAUCUGCCCUUGGGUUCGGAAUAACAGCGGGAAACUGCUGCUAAUACCGGAUGGUGACGUAAGUCCAAAGAUUUAUCGCCCAGGGAUGAGCCCGCGUAGGAUUAGGUAGUUGGCGGGGUAAAGGCCCACCAAGCCUACGAUCCUUAGCUGGUCUGAGAGGAUGAUCAGCCACACUGGGACUGAGACACGGCCCAGACUCCUACGGGAGGCAGCAGUAGGGAAUAUUGGACAAUGGGGGCAACCCUGAUCCAGCAAUGCCGCGUGAGUGAUGAAGGCCUUAGGGUUGUAAAGCUCUUUUACCCGGGAUGAUAAUGACAGUACCGGGAGAAUAAGCCCCGGCUAACUCCGUGCCAGCAGCCGCAGUAA
RNAcentral lists this ribosomal RNA (449 nucleotides) under uncultured bacterium. RNAcentral describes it as "partial 16S ribosomal RNA". It matches the Rfam family "Bacterial small subunit ribosomal RNA", at positions 29 to 523 of the family's 1533-position model. The record is from RNAcentral.